AUUGAACGCUGGCGGCAUGCCUAACACAUGCAAGUCGAACGGCAGCACGGUGUGUAGCAAUACAUAUGGGUGGCGAGUGGCGGACGGGUGAGAAACGCGUGGGAAUCUGCCCUUGAGAGUGGGAUAACCCGAGGAAACUCGGGCUAAUACCGCAUAAACUCUGAGGAGCAAAGGCUAGGUAGCAAUAUCUGGUGCUUGAGGAGGAGCCUGCGUCCGAUUAGCUAGUUGGCGGGGUAAAAGCCCACCAAGGCGAUGAUCGGUAGCUGGUCUGAGAGGAUGAUCAGCCACACUGGGACUGAGACACGGCCCAGACUCCUACGGGAGGUAGCAGUGGGGAAUAUUGGACAAUGGGGGCAACCCUGAUCCAGCAAUGCCGCGUGUGUGAAGAAGGCCUUCGGGUUGUAAAGCACUUUAGGCGGGGAAGAAGUUAUGGAGUUUAAGAGAUGCCAUAGUUGACGGUACCCGCAGAAUAAGCACCGGCUAACUCUGUGCCAGCCGCCGCAGUAA
RNAcentral lists this ribosomal RNA (507 nucleotides) under uncultured bacterium. RNAcentral's name for it is "partial 16S ribosomal RNA". It matches the Rfam family "Bacterial small subunit ribosomal RNA", at positions 30 to 523 of the family's 1533-position model. The record is from RNAcentral.